Molecule: long non-coding RNA, 1208 nt
Organism: Haliotis rufescens (red abalone)
Lineage: Eukaryota; Metazoa; Mollusca; Gastropoda; Lepetellida; Haliotidae
Exons: 3
Source: RefSeq, a predicted model, not a curated record
UGCAGAUGCAUAGAUGCACAGUAACAUGAAUCGUUGCAGCUCUGUGUGCUGGAAGGCAACAAGAGGACACAGAGAGUGUGAAAACAGGACAAUCGUGACCCUGAGGUCACCUGCAUCUGUUGGCGCCGAGGACUGGAUGCAGAUCACAGAUCAUGAAAACAACUGGUUAGGCCUCCUCAGCGGUGUUGAAUGUCAUGUGACAAGUGGGACCAACUAGCACAACACAUACCAGCGGGCAGCAAACAUGUGCAGCCAAUGAAGACUCUGCAUACAACUUGUCUGGGUGCCAUUGUACAAAGUGAUCUUAGCACUGAGUUCUGCUCCGGAACAAAACAUGAUGGGACAGAUGGACAGGAGGACGGACGGACGAACAGCACCCAUUCCUAUCUACCCCUUUAACUAUAUGGCGGGGGAUAAUAACAGCAGCUUUGUGGGCCAGCUGGAUGAACAGCCUGUGGCACUCAGACAGCAACUGUGACACCACUGCACUUUACACAAGAAGAACCAAACCUUGAGUCGAACCUGGACUGAUGUCCGGGUUGCUAUCAGCAAAAGUACUACACAAUAUGUAGCCCAGGUACCUUUCUGUUUUCACACAUGUAGCAUGGCUUGGUAACACAUAUGACACUGGAAUCUGGUGCCUGUUGAGAAUAGACUCCCCAACUUUAGUGCCCUUAAUAUUUCCAUACCAGGGUACAUUUCUGGACUAUUUUGGCUAGGGUACAUCUGUGUAUACAGAAAUGUGUUUGGGUACAUGUCUGUAGUACCUGUGCCAGCUAUGGCCAACAUGCAUUAAAACUAAUUGAACAAUAUUCUGUUUACAGGUAUCUGUGACUCAUAAAGAUUCUACCAAGUUGACUUUGGAACAUGUGUGGCAACACAGGGAUACAAUAUCAUAUGCCUUUCAAUCUGUAUUAACAGAGACGGUCUUUGGAGUAAAAAGGUGUACAAUUCUCAAAAAUCCGAAUUUGUACAAGGUACAAGGGUGGGUGUGGCUUGAAUUGUGCACAUGGAUGGUUGGGACACACCUCUGGGUACAAGGGUGGGUGUGGCUUGAAUUGUGCACAUGGAUGGUUGGGACACACCUCUGGGUACAAGGAUGGGUGUGGCUUGAAUUGUGCACAUGGAUGUUUGGGACACACCUCUGGGUACAAGGAUGGGUGUGGCUUGAAACGGGAGCACAUGGAUGUUAGGGACACACCUCUGGG